UACGGAAGGCAGCAGUGGGGAAUAUUGCACAAUGGGCGCAAGCCUGAUGCAGCCAUGCCGCGUGUAUGAAGAAGGCCUUCGGGUUGUAAAGUACUUUCAGUCGUGAGGAAGGUGUUAAGGUUAAUAACCUUAGCAAUUGACGUUAGCGACAGAAGAAGCACCGGCUAACUCCGUGCCAGCAGCCGCGGUAAUACGGAGGGUGCGAGCGUUAAUCGGAAUUACUGGGCGUAAAGGGCACGCAGGCGGUUAAUUAAGUUGGAUGUGAAAUCCCCGGGCUUAACCUGGGAAUGGCAUUCAAGACUGGUUAGCUAGAGUCUUGUAGAGGGGGUAGAAUUCCAUGUGUAGCGGUGAAAUGCGUAGAGAUGUGGAGGAAUACCGGUGGCGAAGGCGGCCCCUGGACAAAGACUGACGCUCAUGUGCGAAAGCGUGGGGAGCAAAC
This 439-nucleotide ribosomal RNA is filed under the name uncultured bacterium. Its description in RNAcentral is "bacterial SSU rRNA". It matches the Rfam family "Bacterial small subunit ribosomal RNA", at positions 340 to 773 of the family's 1533-position model. The record is from RNAcentral.